UUUUUUUGAAAAUUUUGAAUUUUUUCAUAUGGAAGAUCUGAAAGACAAAUCUUAUAGUGUAAACAAAUCAAUACUCAAUUUUGACAUAAAGUUAAUUGAAAAACAUUGACUUUUCAAAAUAGUGAUAAAUUAACUUUUACUAAUAAAAUAAAGCACCCGAUUAAAACAACCGACGAAAUCCCCGUACAUACAAUCUCCUAUAGAUACCCUUUUAUGUUACGGUUACUUUUUCAUAUGGAUCAUGAAUGCCUUCUAUGAAUAUUGAAUUAAUUCUUAAUUUGGUACUUCCAUUUCAUGUCUUUAUUGUUGAUGUUGUUGUAAGUCUUCAUUGUUGAAUCUUCACAAUUGUUCAAAGCACAAGUUGUUAAUUCAGGAUUUUUUUUAAUUUGUGCUAAAUUGCGACUAACCAUUUCCCUCGCAUCGUAUUUUCCGUGCAAAUCGUUCUUGGGGGUUGUUACACUCAGAGAGUACGGAGCAUGGGGCAGCCCACCAACUAUGGAACCUGAGGGACGGCAAUUUUAGCAAAUAUACGAACUUCUAAUUAAGAAGAGGAAGGAAAAAUAAGCUAAAAACCCUACCAAUGGUAAACCCGAAACCAGCCCUUCAUUCCUGUCGUCCUAGGCGGGAGGAGUUAUAUGUAUAAUUUUGACUGUAAGUUUUGACCUGUAUGUUUAAAUAUGUUUAUUAAGUAAUCCUUUAUCUUAUGCUUUAUAACUAAUUUAUUAUGCUUUAUAAUAACUUUAAACCUAUAUAUUCCUAUGUAGCCUAUUAUUUAGCAACACUGGGCUCGUACGU
Molecule: long non-coding RNA, 795 nt
Organism: Anthonomus grandis grandis
Lineage: Eukaryota; Metazoa; Arthropoda; Insecta; Coleoptera; Curculionidae
Exons: 3
Source: RefSeq, a predicted model, not a curated record